CGGGUGGUAAUGCCGGAUGCUCCAGUUGAUCGCAUGGUCUUCUGGGAAAGCUUUCGCGGUAUGGGAUGGGGUCGCGUCCUAUCAGCUUGACGGCGGGGUAACGGCCCACCGUGGCUUCGACGGGUAGCCGGCCUGAGAGGGCGACCGGCCACAUUGGGACUGAGAUACGGCCCAGACUCCUACGGGAGGCAGCAGUGGGGAAUAUUGCACAAUGGGCGCAAGCCUGAUGCAGCGACGCCGCGUGAGGGAUGGAGGCCUUCGGGUUGUAAACCUCUUUUAUCGGGGAGCAAGCGAGAGUGAGUUUACCCGUUGAAUAAGCACCGGCUAACUACGUGCCAGCAGCCGCGGUAAUACGUAGGGUGCAAGCGUUAUCCGGAAUUAUUGGGCGUAAAGGGCUCGUAGGCGGUUCGUCGCGUCCGGUGUGAAAGUCCAUCGCUUAACGGUGGAUCCGCGCCGGGUACGGGCGGGCUUGAGUGCGGUAGGGGAGACUGGAAUUCCCGGUGUAACGGUGGAAUGUGUAGAUAUCGGAAAGAACACC
Molecule: ribosomal RNA, 538 nt
Filed under: Bifidobacterium longum subsp. infantis
Lineage: Bacteria; Bacillati; Actinomycetota; Actinomycetes; Bifidobacteriales; Bifidobacteriaceae
Description: bacterial SSU rRNA
Rfam family: Bacterial small subunit ribosomal RNA
Source: RNAcentral